CUCGGCAAUGGAUAUCUCGGCUCUCGCAUCGAUGAAGAGCGCAGCGAAAUGCGAUACGUGGUGCGAAUUGCAGAAUCCCGCGAACCAUC
RNAcentral lists this ribosomal RNA (89 nucleotides) under Masdevallia saltatrix. Its description in RNAcentral is "5.8S ribosomal RNA". It matches the Rfam family "5.8S ribosomal RNA", at positions 5 to 93 of the family's 154-position model. Rfam says of the family: 5.8S ribosomal RNA (5.8S rRNA) is a component of the large subunit of the eukaryotic ribosome. It is transcribed by RNA polymerase I as part of the 45S precursor that also contains 18S and 28S rRNA. Lineage: Eukaryota; Viridiplantae; Streptophyta; Magnoliopsida; Asparagales; Orchidaceae. RNAcentral also lists the same sequence under 21 other names. The record is from RNAcentral.